This 344-nucleotide unclassified non-coding RNA is filed under the name soil metagenome. Its description in RNAcentral is "partial contains 5.8S ribosomal RNA, internal transcribed spacer 2, and large subunit ribosomal RNA". The stretch from base 1 to 118 matches the Rfam family "5.8S ribosomal RNA", at positions 35 to 154 of the family's 154-position model. The record is from RNAcentral.
GAUGAAAACGUAGCGAAAUGCGAUAAGUAAUGUGAAUUGCAAAUUCAGUGAAUCAUCGAGUCUUUGAACGCACAUUGCGCCCCCUGGUAUUCCGGGGGGCAUGCCUGUCCGAGCGUCAUUGCUGCCCUCAAGCACGGCUUGUGUGUUGGGCCCCGUCCUCCGAUCCCGGGGGACGGGCCCGAAAGGCAGCGGCGGCACCGCGUCCGGUCCUCGAGCGUAUGGGGCUUUGUCACCCGCUCUGUAGGCCCGGCCGGCGCUUGCCGAUCAACCCAAAUUUUUAUCCAGGUUGACCUCGGAUCAGGUAGGGAUACCCGCUGAACUUAAGCAUAUCAAUAAGCGGAGGA